Molecule: ribosomal RNA, 253 nt
Filed under: uncultured bacterium
Lineage: Bacteria
Description: partial 16S ribosomal RNA
Rfam family: Bacterial small subunit ribosomal RNA
Source: RNAcentral
UACGAAGGGUGCAAACGUUGCUCGGAAUUACUGGGCGUAAAGCGCGCGUAGGCGGCUGCCUAAGUCGGAUGUGAAAGCCCCGGGCUCAACCUGGGAACUGCAUUCGAUACUGGGCGGCUAGAGUAUGAGAGAGGGAGGUAGAAUUCCACGUGUAGCGGUGAAAUGCGUAGAUAUGUGGAGGAAUACCGGUGGCGAAGGCGGCCUCCUGGUUCAAUACUGACGCUGAGGUGCGAAAGCGUGGGGAGCAAACAGG